RNAcentral lists this non-coding RNA (20 nucleotides) under Mus musculus (house mouse). Lineage: Eukaryota; Metazoa; Chordata; Mammalia; Rodentia; Muridae. The record is from RNAcentral. RNAcentral also lists the same sequence under 1 other name.
UAUAAGAAAGAGUGUCUAGU